Molecule: ribosomal RNA, 253 nt
Filed under: uncultured bacterium
Lineage: Bacteria
Description: partial 16S ribosomal RNA
Rfam family: Bacterial small subunit ribosomal RNA
Source: RNAcentral
UACGAAGGGUGCAAGCGUUACUCGGAAUUACUGGGCGUAAAGCGUGCGUAGGUGGUUCGUUAAGUCUGAUGUGAAAGCCCUGGGCUCAACCUGGGAAUGGCAUUGGAAACUGGCGACCUAGAGUGCGGUAGAGGGUAGUGGAAUUCCCUGUGUAGCGGUGAAAUGCGUAGAGAUGGGGGAGAACACUCGUGGCGAAGGCGGCCAGCUAGACCAGUUCUGACACUGAGGCGCGACAGCGUGGGGAGCAAACAGG